GGAAAGCUCUUGUUUCGAGGAAUCUGUAUCAGUUGACGGUUUCUUGUUUAGAUUUUCAGAUCGCUAGAACAGUAUUUCAACCGCUAUAUUCAGAAUUUACUUUCAACCUCAGGGCAAAGGUGAGGAGUGAAGGUUCACAGCGAGUCUUGUCGGGUGCUGGUUUUAAAAAUGAGUUUUACUUAUGUUUUAUUUCAGAUAUAACUACGUUGGUUUGACUUUACGAAUUAUGCGGUUUAUGAUUUCAUGUUAAGAUGUUUCUUUAAGAAUAAAGAUGGAUUUUUAUGAAAUAUAUUUAUUAA
Brassica napus (rape) is the source of this 299-nucleotide long non-coding RNA. RefSeq lists it as uncharacterized. The record is from RefSeq and is a predicted model, not a curated record. The transcript has 3 exons. Lineage: Eukaryota; Viridiplantae; Streptophyta; Magnoliopsida; Brassicales; Brassicaceae.